AACACGUGAGUAACCUGCCCUUGACUCUGGGAUAAGCCUGGGAAACUGGGUCUAAUACCGGAUACGACCAUCUGGCGCAUGUCAUGGUGGUGGAAAGCUUUUGUGGUUUUGGAUGGACUCGCGGCCUAUCAGCUUGUUGGUGGGGUAAUGGCCUACCAAGGCGACGACGGGUAGCCGGCCUGAGAGGGUGACCGGCCACACUGGGACUGAGACACGGCCCAGACUCCUACGGGAGGCAGCAGUGGGGAAUAUUGCACAAUGGGCGAAAGCCUGAUGCAGCGACGCCGCGUGAGGGAUGACGGCCUUCGGGUUGUAAACCUCUUUCAGUAGGGAAGAAGCGAAAGUGACGGUACCUGCAGAAGAAGCGCCGGCUAACUACGUGCCAGCAGCCGCGGUAAUACGUAGGGCGCAAGCGUUAUCCGGAAUUAUUGGGCGUAAAGAGCUCGUAGGCGGUUUGUCGCGUCUGCCGUGAAAGUCCGGGGCUCAACCCCGGAUCUGCGGUGGGUACGGGCAGACUAGAGUGAUGUAGGGGAGACCGGAAUUCCUGGUGUAGCGGUGAAAUGCGCAGAUAUCAGGAGG
This 579-nucleotide ribosomal RNA is filed under the name uncultured bacterium. RNAcentral describes it as "bacterial SSU rRNA". It matches the Rfam family "Bacterial small subunit ribosomal RNA", at positions 112 to 704 of the family's 1533-position model. The record is from RNAcentral.